AAACUCGCCUACAUGAAGCUGGAGUUACUAGUAAUCGCAGAUCAGAAUGCUGCGGUGAAUGCGUUCCCGGGCCUUGUACACACCGCCCGUCACACCAUGAGAGUUGGGGAUACCCGAAGCCUGUGAGCCAACAAUAUAUUGAGGCAGCAGUCGAAGGUAGAAUCAAUGAUUGGGGUGAAGUCGUAACAAGGUACC
Molecule: ribosomal RNA, 195 nt
Filed under: uncultured bacterium
Lineage: Bacteria
Description: partial 16S ribosomal RNA
Rfam family: Bacterial small subunit ribosomal RNA
Source: RNAcentral